Hippocampus comes (tiger tail seahorse) is the source of this 664-nucleotide long non-coding RNA. RefSeq lists it as uncharacterized. The record is from RefSeq and is a predicted model, not a curated record. NCBI's taxonomy places the organism in Eukaryota, Metazoa, Chordata, Actinopteri, Syngnathiformes, Syngnathidae. The transcript is spliced from 2 exons.
UGUCUAUUCUGCUAGCUCAGUAUUGCAGAGCAGACAUGGGACCUGUAAAGGAAGUUUAAAUUUGUUUUUUUCCCUCCAAUGACAAGGCCAGACUGCUAAAUUGUAGCAUUAAAACCAUAAGACUCCUCUGACGUGACUCUUUAAAUCCAUCGUUAUCCAUCUUUAGAACAGUGGCUUCAAUAAAGAUGACAUUUUAUCAGUCGUUUUCCAUUAAUCACCUAGAGUGCCAUUUUAAGACAAAUUUAUUUAUUGCAUAUAUUUGAUAUUAAAGUUAUCAAAUGCCCAAUAUCUCAAUACAUUCUGAAAAAUAAAACAUACCACAGAUCAAAAUGCAUGCAAAUGAGAAGUGGAACCUCCAAAGUGGAACAUAGCUACAUGGUAAUAGGUUAGUAUCUUCUGGAAUUGAAAUUGAAUUGUAAUGUCCAUUUUGCACCGAGCAGUUAAGAUGCCAUUUUGCGUCAGCUCAGGUGCCACUUCUUUCUCAACGAUUAUUAUAAUCUUUGCCCCCUUUGCUAUCAUGGGUAGUCUUCAUCAACAUUUAAAGCAAAAUCACAAACAAACAAAAAAGUGCACUUGUUUAUAGUUAAUCCAGAAAAUUCAACACAUUGCUACGUCACAGUAGAUUCCACUUCCUGCUCUAUGGUUACCAUCACUUUCACCACUC